UUAACAUUAAUCCAAAUGGAAGUGUGUCAAAUGGAAGUCUAUUCAAGUUGACAUUUAAGUGACAACGUAACAGAAGAUAGAUUUCAGAACUCCUAGUACUCAGCAGCAGUUGAGGCCAUAUAAAUCCAUGGGAAAAUGGCAUCACUAAUAAGCAAUAUUAAUGGGACAGAGCCGCUGCUCGUCGACCCGGCCGGCGUAAACUUCAAAUGUUCAUGUGUCAACAAGUUCACUCAUGAAACUAAAUAUUUGUCACGGAUCUGAAAAUAGCAGCCAACACUUGCUUGACACAUAAACUUCAAUUGGCAUGAAAAAUACCUAACUCUGAACUAGAUCAACUGAAUAGGUGUAGUUAAGUGGUAGUUGAGCUGCGGAAUGGAAAUAAUGAAAAAAUCAUAGGAGUGGAAGUAGAGAAACAACCCCUGGUUGAUCACGGAGCAGCUCCAUCACGGCCAUCGUGGCCGCCCGCCCUCUCAAGCUCUAUUUUGCGCCAUGCAGCAGUGCCACCAAGACCUGCAUCCUAAAAAACAUAGAUCAUAAUCAGGGAAAUUAGAAUGUUAAGUUAUCAAAAUAAAAAAAGAGGGAAUAACAUCAACAAGAUUUAGAUAGAGCAGUAGACAGCAAUCCCCACUUGUUGGGGGAACUAUUGCUGAGGGCGACCUAGAUAUGGAGGUAGGGAGCAGGGGAGUUGAAUAAGAAAUGUGUGUGUCAUUGUGUUGGCAAGUGCUAGCUCGGUGUGUCUCCAGGUUGAGAGAGUGAGCAAACACGUACGUUAUCUUGGUACAAGUACUAAUAAGUGCAGAACUAAUAGUAGUAGUACUACUAUAAAUUGACUCACUCAUACAUGUGUUUAGUACACAAAUUGGUAUGUUUAAACUCUGUAUUAUUACUGUAGGACUGCCACACUGUAAAUGUAAUUUUCUUCUUAGAUUCAGAUUAAACUAAUUCUGGUAUAUAUAUUCACCGAGCUGCAAGAGACAGUAAGAACAGAAAAAGAAAUGCCUAGGGAGAAAACACUAAAAAAAAACAUGUCACGAUGUUAAUACAUUAACAGAAAAUAAACUGAUUACGUUUAUUCAUACUGAAUUAUAUUUUGAUAGAAAAUAAACUGAAUGAAUACUGAACACUUGGUUAUAUUGAUUUAAAGAACAGAGAUACACCAAACUAUUGGAAAAAUGUAAACUCAAUUAGAUUUGGUAGAGAACUAACUGAAAUAGUUAUUGAUAGAAGGUCGCAUCUGCAGCCGAUUGACGAACAUGUGCGGAUAUAUCUACUCGGUACCCUGCAGUGUACAAGAUGGAGAGAAAUCUCAAUGUUAAAAGAUUCAGAGACGAAGCACGGCACACACAACAUACUGGCUGUUGCACGCACACAC
RNAcentral lists this long non-coding RNA (1372 nucleotides) under Triticum aestivum (bread wheat). RNAcentral's name for it is "long non-coding RNA (TAES_LNC028268)". The record is from RNAcentral. Lineage: Eukaryota; Viridiplantae; Streptophyta; Magnoliopsida; Poales; Poaceae.